CUAGCGACUUCAGAGUUUGAUCCUGGCUCAGGACAAACGCUGCGGGGUGCAUGAGACAUGCAAGUCGAACGAGGUGCCAACGAGCUUGCUCGAUGGUUACCUAGUGGCGGACGGCUGAGUAACGCGUAGGUGACCUACCCGGAAGUGGGGAAUAACUGCCCGAAAGGGUGGCUAAUACCGCAUGUGGUCGGCGAUUCGAUUCGCCGUCCAAAGGAGAAAUCCGCUUCCGGCGGGGCCUGCGUCCGAUUAGCUAGUUGGUGAGGUAACGGCCCACCAAGGCGACGAUCGGUAGCUGGUCUGAGAGGAUGAUCAGCCAGACUGGGACUGAGAACGGCCCAG
RNAcentral lists this ribosomal RNA (339 nucleotides) under uncultured bacterium. RNAcentral describes it as "bacterial SSU rRNA". It matches the Rfam family "Bacterial small subunit ribosomal RNA", at positions 1 to 334 of the family's 1533-position model. The record is from RNAcentral.